RNAcentral lists this ribosomal RNA (459 nucleotides) under uncultured bacterium. Its description in RNAcentral is "partial 16S ribosomal RNA". It matches the Rfam family "Bacterial small subunit ribosomal RNA", at positions 338 to 795 of the family's 1533-position model. The record is from RNAcentral.
CCUACGGGAGGCAGCAGUGAGGAAUAUUGGUCAAUGGGCGGGAGCCUGAACCAGCCAAGUCGCGUGAGGGAAGAAGGUACAGCGUAUCGUAAACCUCUUUUGUCAGGGAACAAAGGCGGGGACUAGUCCCCGGAUGAGGGUACCUGAAGAAAAAGCAUCGGCUAACGCCGUACCAGCAGCCGCGGUAAUACGGAGGAUGAGAGCGUUAUCCGGAUUUAUUGGGUUUAAAGGGUGCGCAGGCGGCCUGUUAAGUCAGCGGGAAAAGCCCGGGGCUCAACCCCGGCGAGCCGUUGAAACUGGCGGGCUGGAGUUGGAGAGAAGUACGCAGAAUGCGCGGUGUAGCGGUGAAAUGCUUAGAUAUCGCGCAGAACCCCGAUUGCGAAGGCAGCGUACCGGCUCCACACUGACGCUGAGGCACGAAAGCGUGGGUAUCGAACAGGAUUAGAUACCCUUGUAGUC